UGUCCAUCUUCAACCCCAUGGCCGAAUAUAGCAAGGAGAAACCAUGGCUAGGGUUUUUCAAGCUUCCAAGCUCAAUUUGUUGACAAGCCAGCUCGGAAAUCGGAAGCGGUCGGAGGCACGCUCACACUAUCCGUAUACCAUCUUGGCAUAAUGGCUUGUAUAUUUUGAGUAUGGCAUGUAUAGCAUUAUAAUCAUUUUAUAUGUAUGGUCUUAUGAUAUGGUUAUUGAGUGGUAUGGAAAUAGAAAUGCUUGGUAAUGAUUAGCCAUUGGAAUGGCUAAUCAUGAUCAUAUUUGGUA
Gossypium arboreum is the source of this 297-nucleotide long non-coding RNA. RefSeq lists it as uncharacterized. The record is from RefSeq and is a predicted model, not a curated record. The transcript is spliced from 2 exons. Lineage: Eukaryota; Viridiplantae; Streptophyta; Magnoliopsida; Malvales; Malvaceae.